GAUGAAGAACGUAGCGAAAUGCGAUAAGUAAUGUGAAUUGCAGAAUUCAGUGAAUCAUCGAAUCUUUGAACGCACAUUGCGCCCGCCAGUAUUCUGGCGGGCAUGCCUGUUCGAGCGUCAUAUCAACCAUCAAGCCCUGCUUGCGUUGGGGUCCUGCGGCUGCCCGCAGGCCCUGAAAACCAGUGGCGGGCUCGCUAGUCACACCGAGCGCAGUAAUACAUCUCGCUUUGGGCGUGCGGCGGGUUCUUGCCGUUAAACACCCCCUUUUUACCAAGGUUGACCUCGGAUCAGGUAGGAAUACCCGCUGAACUUAAGCAUAUCAAUAAGCGGAGGA
This 334-nucleotide unclassified non-coding RNA is filed under the name soil metagenome. RNAcentral describes it as "partial contains 5.8S ribosomal RNA, internal transcribed spacer 2, and large subunit ribosomal RNA". The stretch from base 1 to 120 matches the Rfam family "5.8S ribosomal RNA", at positions 35 to 154 of the family's 154-position model. The record is from RNAcentral.